UGAAACCAAGUAUGGGUCGCCU
This 22-nucleotide microRNA is filed under the name Monodelphis domestica (gray short-tailed opossum). Its description in RNAcentral is "mdo-miR-551c-5p". Its record names the gene mdo-miR-551c-5p. Lineage: Eukaryota; Metazoa; Chordata; Mammalia; Didelphimorphia; Didelphidae. The record is from miRBase by way of RNAcentral.